UCAAGCAGUAUGCAGUGUACAACAAACGUAACUUUCACAGAACCCAAAACAAAACCUACAUUUUUCUUUUGUGCUCAGCAGAAUUCCUCGUGGACUGCCGUGAAUUUGUUGCUUGAGUGCACCUUAAUUUGUGCGAGCCCGACGGGACGACGGGAGGUCGCUCCGCACGAGUCGGAAUGGACUCAAAAAGGCUCCUUUCUGUCCUUGAUAACAUCUUCAGCGUAUUCAGGACUGCAAUUUAUUAUUUUUCACGCCGUAAAAUAACUGUGGAACUCGGUCGGUGCUCAUUGGACGGAGAGCCUCUUUGCGGAAAAGGGAAUACGUUAAUGUGCUCUCGCCUGUAACUCCAGCGUAUCGUGUGACCGGAGCAUUCGCAGCCUUUGGGUUUCACGUGUCGGAGUGUUUGACACCGUGUGAGAUUGGCAGGAGACGUUUUUCGGUCUGCGGGGGUAUUUAUGUUUUUGAGUGGCAUGUUGUGGGAUGUUUUCUGGAUGUGAGGACAAUACAGUUAUUAAAAUUGCCCGGAUGUUAUAUGAGAGGCUGUAAAAAAAUGUAAAAAAAAUCCCCACAUUUUUGACAUUUAUUCUUCCCCAAAAUUCAAUCGUCAUUGAUUUUUUGUGUGCAUUUUAAUGUUUAAAAAAAAUAUAAUUCACAAACUCACAUUAAACCAUAAACAAACACAUUUAGUUUCUACUUUUUAAGAGACUCAGUAUUUAGAUGCAAUUGAGACAAAUGCAGCAGCAGUGACUUAAAUAAAAUGACUCUACCUGUGUGUGUGUGUGUGUG
Molecule: long non-coding RNA, 786 nt
Organism: Pseudoliparis swirei
Lineage: Eukaryota; Metazoa; Chordata; Actinopteri; Perciformes; Liparidae
Exons: 3
Source: RefSeq, a predicted model, not a curated record